UACGACUACAUAUCAGGCAUAUCAAUAAGCGGAGGAAAAGAAACUAACUAGGAUUCCCUUAGUAACGGCGAGUGAAGCGGGAAGAGCUCAAAUCUGAAAUCUUCAAGGUUCUACCUUGACGAAUUGUAGUUUAAAGAAGUGUUUUCUGUUGGAGUUUUGGUAAAAGUUCUUUGGAAUAGGACAUCAUAGAGGGUGAGAAUCCCGUAUUUGACCAUUUCUUCCAGCUGUGUGAUACACUUUCAAAGAGUCGGAUUGUUUGGGAAUGCAGUCCAAGAUGGGUGGUAAAUUUCAUCUAAAGCUAAAUAUUGGCGAGAGACCGAUAGCGAACAAGUACCGUGAGGGAAAGAUGAAAAGAACUUUGAAAAGAGAGUUAAACAGUACGUGAAAUUGUCAAAAGGGAAGCGUUUGACACCAGUGUUGUUUUCUCGAAAAUCAAUUAAAAUGGCCUGAUUUGUAAGUUAGUAUUGACUUUAUCAGCUUGCUGCCUUUUUCUUGUCAAUUAUUGAAUGCACUUUUCAGUUAACAAGUCAACAUCCAAUUUCUUUUGUUGUAAAAGAGGUCAUUGGAAGGUGGCUUUCACUUCGGUGAAAGUGUUUAUAGCCUUUGGACUUCUACAAUCGGAGAGAUUGAGGUCUGCAGCGUAGAUCCUUCGGGGUUAGAUACGCUUAGAUGCUAAGCUAUAGCCUUGUAUAGACAACUUGUUGACUAUGCUCAUCAUGUAGCUUACUCGCUUGUACGUAUUUUACCUACGCUUAGGAUGUUGAUCUCUCACAGUCGAGC
This 780-nucleotide ribosomal RNA is filed under the name uncultured Neocallimastigales. RNAcentral's name for it is "partial large subunit ribosomal RNA". It matches the Rfam family "Eukaryotic large subunit ribosomal RNA", at positions 24 to 645 of the family's 3401-position model. The record is from RNAcentral. Lineage: Eukaryota; Fungi; Neocallimastigomycota; Neocallimastigomycetes; Neocallimastigales.